GUCUAUGGCCAUGCCACCCUGAACAAGCUAAGCAGGGUUGGGCCUGGUUGGUACUUGGAUGGGAGACCACCUAUGAAGACCAGGUGCUAUAGGCG
This 95-nucleotide ribosomal RNA is filed under the name Pteropus alecto (black flying fox). Lineage: Eukaryota; Metazoa; Chordata; Mammalia; Chiroptera; Pteropodidae. The record is from RNAcentral.